CCUACGGGAGGCUGCAGUGGGGAAUAUUGCACAAUGGGGGAAACCCUGAUGCAGCGACGCCGCGUGAGUGAAGAAGUAUUUCGGUAUGUAAAGCUCUAUCAGCAGGGAAGCAAAUGACGGUACCUGAUUAAGAAGCCCCGGCUAACUACGUGCCAGCAGCCGCGGUAAUACGUAGGGGGCAAGCGUUAUCCGGAUUUACUGGGUGUAAAGGGGGCGUAGACGGCAGGGCAAGUCUGAAGUGAAAUGCCGGGGCUUAACCCCGGAACUGCUUUGGAAACUGUGCAGCUAGAGUGCAGGAGAGGUAAGUGGAAUUCCUGGUGUAGCGGUGAAAUGCGUAGAUAUUAGGAGGAACACCAGUGGCGAAGGCAGCUUACUGGACUGUAACUGACGUUGAGGCUCGAAAGCGUGGGGAGCAAACAGGAUUAGAUACCCUUGUAGUC
Molecule: ribosomal RNA, 440 nt
Filed under: uncultured bacterium
Lineage: Bacteria
Description: partial 16S ribosomal RNA
Rfam family: Bacterial small subunit ribosomal RNA
Source: RNAcentral